This 453-nucleotide ribosomal RNA is filed under the name uncultured bacterium. RNAcentral's name for it is "bacterial SSU rRNA". It matches the Rfam family "Bacterial small subunit ribosomal RNA", at positions 29 to 524 of the family's 1533-position model. The record is from RNAcentral.
AACGAACGCUGGCGGCAUGCCUAACACAUGCAAGUCGAACGCGUGUAGCAAUACACGAGUGGCGGACGGGUGAGUAACGCGUGGGAACCUGCCCAAUGGUAGGGAAUAACUGCGGGAAACUGCAGCUAAUACCCUAUGCUCCCUACGGGGGAAAGAUUUAUCGCCAUUGGAGGGGCCCGCGUCGGAUUAGCUAGUUGGCGGGGUAACGGCCCACCAAGGCUACGAUCCGUAGCUGGUCUGAGAGGAUGAUCAGCCACACUGGGACUGAGAUACGGCCCAGACUCCUACGGGAGGCAGCAGUGGGGAAUAUUGGACAAUGGGGAAACCCUGAUCCAGCAAUGCCGCGUGAGUGAAGAAGGCCUUAGGGUUGUAAAGCUCUUUCGGCGGGACGAUGGUGACGGUACCCGCAGAAGAAGCCCCGGCUAACUUCGUGCCAGCAGCCGCCGCGGUAAG